Molecule: ribosomal RNA, 799 nt
Filed under: uncultured Prosthecobacter sp.
Lineage: Bacteria; Pseudomonadati; Verrucomicrobiota; Verrucomicrobiia; Verrucomicrobiales; Verrucomicrobiaceae
Description: partial 16S ribosomal RNA
Rfam family: Bacterial small subunit ribosomal RNA
Source: RNAcentral
CGAUGGGCCGACGUCGCAUGCUCCCGGCCGCCAUGGUUAGAGUUUGAUCAUGGCUCAGAACGAACGCUGGCGGCGUGGAUAAGACAUGCAAGUCGAACGGAACAUUGAGAGUAGCAAUAUGAUCAGUGUUUAGUGGCGAACGGGUGCGUAACACGUGGAUACAUUCCGGGAAGCGGGGGAUAGCCCAGGGAAACUUGGAUUAAUACCGCAUGUGGUCGAAAGACUAAAGGCAGGGACCGCAAGGCCUGCCACUUCCCGAUUGGUCCGCGGCCUAUCAGCUAGUUGGCGGGGUAAAAGCCCACCAAGGCUACGACGGGUAGCUGGUCUUAGAGGACGACCAGCCACACUGGAACUGAGACACGGUCCAGACACCUACGGGUGGCAGCAGUCGAGAAUCUUUCACAAUGGGGGCAACCCUGAUGGAGCGACGCCGCGUGGAGGAUAAGGUCUUCGGAUUGUAAACUCCUGUCAUGUGUGAACAAGGCUGUCUUGUUAAUAGCGAGGCAGAUUGAUGGUAACACAAGAGGAAGAGACGGCUAACUCUGUGCCAGCAGCCGCGGUAAUACAGAGGUCUCAAGCGUUGUUCGGAAUCACUGGGGCGUAAAGGGUGCGUAGGUGGCGCAGCAAGUCAGAUGUGAAAGCCCGGGGCUCAACCUCGGAAUUGCAUCCGAUACUGCUGUGCUAGAGUACUGAAGAGGUGACUAGAAUUCUCGGUGUAGCAGUGAAAUGCGUAGAUAUCGGGAGGAAUACCAACGGCGAAGGCAGGUCACUGGGGCAUUUACUGACACUGAGGCACGAA